Molecule: non-coding RNA, 26 nt
Filed under: Homo sapiens (human)
Lineage: Eukaryota; Metazoa; Chordata; Mammalia; Primates; Hominidae
Source: RNAcentral
GGAUGUGAGUCAAGAGUGCUGAUUGG